CCCUUAGAUGUUCUGGGCCGCACGCGCGCCACACUGAUGAAUGCAACGAGCUCUACCCUUGACCGAAAGGCCCGGGUAAACUUGUGAAACUUCAUCGUGAUGGGGAUAGAUUAUUGCAAUUAUUAAUCUUCAACGAGGAAUUCCUAGUAAGCGCGAGUCAUCAGCUCGCGUUGAUUACGUCCCUGCCCUUUGUACACACCGCCCGUCGCUCCUACCGAUUGAAUGGUCCGGUGAAAUCUUCGGAUUGCUGACCAAGAUCCAGCAAUGGAGCUUGGUUGCGAGAAGUUGAUUAAACCUUAUUAUUUAGAGGAAGGAGAAGUCGUAACA
This 327-nucleotide ribosomal RNA is filed under the name uncultured eukaryote. RNAcentral describes it as "partial 18S ribosomal RNA". It matches the Rfam family "Eukaryotic small subunit ribosomal RNA", at positions 1470 to 1796 of the family's 1831-position model. The record is from RNAcentral.